UACAAGAAACGCUCUGCACUUCAUGGAAUGAUUACACUAGAAAUCUCUCCAGAUACUUACACAUAUCCUCACAAGUGGUUACUGUUUGUAUUUAUGCCUGGUAAGUACCCAGGAGUGAUGGUCUCUGUGGUAUAUUUCUCUGACACUGCAUGCCCCAUUUGCAGGUACACAUGACUAGAAUGAACUUGCUAACAAACACAAGGAAGAAAUGACGACUUUGUCAUUAUUUAUUGUCGCCUUUCUCCUUCUAGGAUUCUCUUGCUCUUCACAGAGUGAGAGUUGUGUCGGUAACGUCAGUUUGUCGGUGUCUGUCAGCAGAAACUCGACUCUACUGGUUGACUGGAACAGCGGGAGCAAACAGACGACCCAAUGUGCACUGCUCGUAUCAACCGAAGGGAGACAAGAAAUUCAGAUACACCUUUUGCCAAGGUCUGGAUCUCUCGUAUUGGAAAACAUGACAGACAAUUUUAAACACUCCUUCUUAUGCACGUGUUUUGAACAGUCUCUGGGACUCUUGUGCUCCAAGAACAUAAGCUUUGUUAUGGGUAUUUAUUGAUUUAUUUAUUAUGACUAAAUUACAUUUUAAAAACAUUGAUCUGCGCAUAUUGUACAUGCGUAUUUGAAUGAUGAUAAAAAUAUAUUCUGAUUUUAAAAAAUAGAAAUGCAUGGUACUUUUUGGCCAAAUAUUAUAAU
Danio rerio (zebrafish) is the source of this 693-nucleotide non-coding RNA. NCBI's taxonomy places the organism in Eukaryota, Metazoa, Chordata, Actinopteri, Cypriniformes, Danionidae. The record is from RefSeq and is a predicted model, not a curated record.